UACGUAGGGUGCAAGCGUUGUCCGGAAUCACUGGGCGUAAAGCGCACGUAGGCGGAUCUUUAAGUCAGGGGUGAAAUCCUGGAGCUCAACUCCAGAACUGCCUUUGAUACUGGGGAUCUCGAGUCCGGAAGAGGUGAGUGGAACUCCGAGUGUAGAGGUGAAAUUCGUAGAUAUUCGGAAGAACACCAGUGGCGAAGGCGGCUCACUGGUCCGGUACUGACGCUGAGGUGCGAAAGCGUGGGGAGCAAACAGG
Molecule: ribosomal RNA, 253 nt
Filed under: uncultured bacterium
Lineage: Bacteria
Description: partial 16S ribosomal RNA
Rfam family: Bacterial small subunit ribosomal RNA
Source: RNAcentral